GUGGGAAAAAAAUAUAUAUAAAAAGUAACACAAGAAAAUGAAAUAACAAUAACGAGGCUAUAUACGGGGGGGACUGGUAACGAGUCAAUGUGCGGGGGUACAGGUUAGUCAAGGUAAUUUGUAAAGUGACUCUGCAUAGAUAAUAAACCGCGAGGAGCAGCAGUGUAAAAACAAAUGUAAAUGGUCCGGGUGGCCAUUUGACUAAUUGUUCAGCAGUCUUAUGGCUUGGGGGUAGAAGCUGUUAAGGAGCAUUUUGGCCCUAGACUUGGCACUCCUGUAUCACUUUUCGUGCGGUAGCAGAGAGAACAGUCUAUGACAUGGGUGACUGGAGUUUUUGCCAUUUUUUUGGGCCUUCCUUUGACACCGCCUAGUAUAUAGGUCCUGGAUGUCAGGAAGCUUGGCCCCAGUGAUGUACUGGGCCGUACGCACUACCAUCUGUAGCGCCUUACAGGCAGAUACCGAUCAGUUGCCAUACCAUGCGGUGAUGCAACCGGUCAGGAUGCUCUCGAUGGUGCAGUUGUAUAACUUUGAGGAUCUGGGGACCCAUGCCAAAUGUUUUCAGUCUCCUGAGGGGGAAAAGGUGUUGUCGUGCCAACUGUUUUGGCGUGUUUAGACCAUGACCAUGACACAUAGCUGGCAAAUAGCUUACCAUUAGCUCAUCAUAAUCAGUACAACCUUCAAAAAAUGAUUUUAUACACCUCAUACAUUGUAUCAAUUAGAAUCAAUGCAAGAAUCAGAAUGCAUGAUGUCACUAGUACUUGAAAACAUGUAAAUAAAGAAAUUAUUACCACACAAACCAUUUUCUGAUAGUGAUUUAUUGAUACAAGUGGCCCAUUCAGGUGUUAUGAUAACGCUACUGAUGACUUGUCGCCACAGAUGGUUUGUUUACGUUUCUAACGUUGAGGCUCAAUGGAGUAGCUAGGCCUACAAUAGCUCCAUCUAGUGGUUAUGUCGGGGACAACUGUUGGUGACAACUGUAGCUUGUAGACAAGCCUAACCCUAACCCUUUUCCUAACCUUAACCUCAUUCUCUUAACCUAGUAUAUAUAAUUCACCAAACCUGCUGCAUUAGUUAUCCUAACCUGCCAUGUUAAUUAUCCUAACCUGCUGUAUAACCAAACCCUUUGUGGAGACAAAUCAUCAGUAUCACCACACCGGUAGCCAAUCACGUCGCCCCUGACACUCACUUGGAGCCAUUCAGUGUUGUUUUUUAUGUAUGUAGCUAGUGGGCUAAGCUGUAGCAUUAGCAAUGUCUUUAAAAAGAAGACAAUUUACAAAUAUGGAAAUUCUGGAAAUUUUUGUAAAUUCUGAUAAUGAUUCUGAUUAUGACAGUGAGGAAUCAGGUUCUGACAGUGAGAGUAAGGAGCUGCCCCCCAACCUUGUAGCCAUUGAGAACUCUGAAUCUGAGGACCCUUUGCCACCGAAGAAGUCCCAGGUCCCUCUGAAGAUGCUGGUGGUGAUGGAGGCACAUCAACAGUGAGUGAAAUACGGGAGGUCUGCGGUAGCUGGAAGGCCUCCAGUAAUUUCACCCAUCCUGGCCAUGCUGUUGGUUUUUAUGAGUCCCAGUCGAGUGCAAAGCCCCUUGUCAUCUCCAUCUGAGGCAGAGUGCUUCAAGCUGUUUCUGACAGAGGACCUGUGGGAGAUAUAGUGGAGGAAAUCAAUAAAGAGGAAUUAUUAGUAAUUAGCAGGGGCACAACUUUGGUUUUAGAAGUGGGGGGGACAUAACCUUGUGGUGGGUCUGGGGGUCCUUCCUCAGAAUUGUUUUGGCCAUAUAACGCUAACUUCCUGCAUUUUUAAUAGGUUUGUCCAUGACUAAAAACAAAUUAUUCAGACCCCUUCACUCUUUCCACAUUUUGUUAUGUUACAGCAUUAUUCAAAAACGGAUUAAAUACAUUCUUUCCCUCGUCAAUCUACACACAAUACCCCAUAAUGACAAAGUGAAAACAGGUUUUCAGAAAUCUGUCAACAUUUUCUUUUAAAACCUGUUUUCACUUUGUCUUUAUGGGAGAUUGAUGAUGAAAACAAUUAAUUUAAUCCAUUUUAGAAUAAGGCUGUAACGUAAAAUGAAAAUAAGAAAAAAUAAAAAGCUAGCAGGGUACUAGCAGGAGUGGCCAGGAGAUACCCUAAGAUGGUGACAGGCAAGUUCCACCAGACAGGGGCUGACGCGGCCGGGCCAGCCUGAGCAGACUGAGUCCAUGUGGCAGCAGGCAGACACCACUGGAUGGCAGCAGGCUGGACUUGGAAGGUAGGAACAGGUAAAUCCCACCAGGCAGGGGCCGACUGACAUAUCAGCUGGAGUAGUGUGCUCUCUCAGGGAGAGCUCUGGUAGCUCCUCCAUCCCUGGAAAAGGCUCUGUGGUUUCUAUGAUGGACUCCACAGUUGGUGUCAGCUGGAGAAAAGUAGUGGUUUGCUCCUCCAGGGUGAGCUUUGGUAGCUCCUCUGGCCUUGAAGAAGGCUGUAGAGCUAAGGUGGAAACCAGUUGAGACACCACGGCUGAAGUAGGUUGGAGCACAGUGGUGGGGUACUCCUCCAGGGUGAGCUCUGUUACUGGAGAAGGCUGAGGCUCUAUGGCAGGAGUGGGUGUAGUAGACCCCACUACUAGCUUCAGCUCCAUGGUCAGAGCAGGAUGGAUCUGCAUGGCUGGUCCAGUGAUGGGGUACUCCACCAGGGUGUGUUCUGGUAGCCCCUCUGGCCCUGGAGAAGGUUGUAGCACCACUAUCAAAAGGGGUCGGAUCCGAGGUGGGCUGAUGGCGACUCUAAUGCUGAAGGUGACGAUGUCGUCGAGCGCUCAUGUUGAUGGAGGCGCUGAUGAGCAGUUUCAAGCUGGCGAGAUUGGUGUGGGGCUACAGGGUGUAAAUCUGCAGCAACCUCUUGAUGGUGAGCCACAGCAGCUGGCACUGAAUGAGAAGGUGCAUGAAGAAGGGGAUGUGAGGACUGGUCAGCCUCCACUUGGUCAGGAUGGGCAUCCCUUUUGGUGACCAAUGGGGGUGACCAAUGGGUGUGAUCUUCUUCUUGUCGUAGAUACUGAUCUGUCCCUUUCCUGCAUCUUCUCACUACCAACCCUUCCAUCAAUCCCUGCAUUCUCACAGUCUUCUCUGUGGUGUGCAGGUACAAACCUGUGGCACUGGAGGUUCAGCUGGCUGUAGGUGUGGUUUGGCUAGUGUAACCACGAGUUGCUCCAUCUGUUUGAGCUCCUUCUUGGCCUCAAGAAAUAUCAUGUCAGAGAGGAAAGCUUUUUUGCUUUACUCUGAUAGAAUCCAACAGAUCUUCUGCAUACAGGUCACCGAGACCAAUGGAGGGGAAGUGGCAUGCCAUGUCUUGAGGCUUGUGUACUCGUUUUCAUUCAGGGAGAGGAGACUGCACUCUUACAAAUAAGGGUACAGUGUCUCCCGAGUGGCAAAGCGGUCUAAGGUACUGCAUCGCAGUGCUAGAGGCGUCACUACAGACCCGGGUUCGAUCCCAGGCUGUGUCGCAGCUGGCUGAGACGGGGAGACCCAUGAGGCGGUGCGCAAUUGGCCAACCGCCGUCCAGGUUAGGGGAGGGUUUGGCCAAAAAAUAAAGCUUGAAUGGUGUUCACAAAAAACAUAAUUAUUUUAAGAAUUAUAGAAGCAGAACUCCUCUAUGCACUCGCUAUGUCCGAUUUUAAAAUAGCGUUUCGGUGAAAGCACAUUUUGCAAUAUUCUCAGUGGAUAGCCCGGCAUCACAGGGCUAGCUAUUUUGACACCCACCAAGUUUAGCAUUCACCAGAUUUACUAUAAGAAAAAUGUUAUUACUUUUGCUGUCUUCGUCAGAAUGCACUCCCAGGACUUCUACUUCAAUAACAAAUGUUGGUUUGGUUCAAAAUAAUCCAUAGUUAUGUUCAAAUAUCCUCUGUUUUGUUCGUGCGUUCAAGACACUAUCCGAAUGGUAAAGAAGGGUGACGCGCACAACGCAUUUCGUGACAAAAAAAUACGAAAUAUUCCAUUACCGUACUUCGAAGCAUGUCAACCGCUGUUUAAAAUCAAUUUUAUUGCCAUUUUUCUCGUAAAAAAGCGAUAAUAUUCCGACCGGGAAUCUGUGUUUAGGUUCAAAGACGAAUUAAAAUAAAAACAUGGGGUCGACUCGUGCACGCGCCUCAGCCCAUUGUCCUCUGAUAGAGCACUUGCCAAAAGCGCUAAUGUGUUUCAGCCAGUGGCUGGAAUUACAUCAUUCAGCUUUUUCCCGCCUUCUGAGAGCCUAUGGGAGCCGUAGGAAGUGUCACGUUACAGCAGAGAUCCUCAGUCUUCAAUAAACAGAGUCAAGAAGCUCAAGGAAUGGUCAGAGAGGGCACUUCCUAUACAGAAUCUUCUCAGGUUUUUGCCUGCCAUAUGAGUUCUGUUAUACUCACAGACACCAUUCAAACAG
This 4382-nucleotide long non-coding RNA is filed under the name Salmo salar (Atlantic salmon). RNAcentral describes it as "lncRNA (ENSSSAG00000087364.1)". The record is from RNAcentral. Lineage: Eukaryota; Metazoa; Chordata; Actinopteri; Salmoniformes; Salmonidae.